CCUCUCAUCACCCGAACAUUCUCCUCCUUCCCCGAUCUUUUCUUCUCCCCUUCCUCUGUUCUCUCUCGCGGACGAACCGAAACCAGCGGACUUCCGGCAAUCAUCGACGUCGACUGAGGGCUCAUCGCCAGAGCUUGCCAGAGAUCGAAGAAGGGGGCCGGAUCAUCUUGAUUCCCUCUUCUCAACCCUUCCCCGACACCGACACCAAGGGAGAUGAUCGCCUGAAUGAAGAGGCAAUUAGGGCUCCGUGGCUAGCUUCGAUUUCUUCUUCUCUGGAUGUUCUCCGAUCUGUGCCCUAGCACGAUUUGCGUUUUCCCGAUCGAUGACAUUGGAUCAAGCCGGAUCCACCGAUCACCGGUGUGGAGAGGCAGUUAGGGCUUCAAUGGAUCUUGAUCCUCUUCUUUGAGGUUGAUUUAGGUCACGGAUUGGAGGGGAUCAAUGAGUUUGUUCUUGAGCUGUCGGGCAGAGUCUAGGAGGUUUGUAAUUGAUCAGUGAUGAUCUUCGGAUUGAGUGAUACCUUCUGGAGACAACCGAUUGAGGGAGGUGUUCUUGAGCUGUCGAGCAGAGGCUAGAAGGAUGGUUGUGCUUGAUCAGUAGUCUUCCUGCUGGAUUCUUGCUUGAUCUGAUUGAUAACAGCAAGUAGGAAGGAUUUUAGCAGCGAGGUUGUGUUGCUGUGAUGCUGGAAUUGUGGUCAUUGAGGUGGUUUACAACAGCGUUUCUAGUUUCGGCAACUCUCCAACAGCAGCUACCUUUCCUGGCAGCACCAUUUCUUUGUGUGGAUCAACAAAACAGUGCUAGGAAUUUAGGACUCUGAUUCGAGACAGGCGUCUCGAUGUUGGAUUUGGCGUUAUUGCACCUUCUAUUUGAGGCGGGUACCCUUUGACUUAUCUCUUGAUAGUGUCUUAUGAUAUGUGCAGUUUAUAUAUACUUACUAGUGUUGGUAGUGUAACGCCCGCCCUCCCUGCUAACCCUAA
This is a long non-coding RNA of Zingiber officinale, 974 nucleotides long. RefSeq lists it as uncharacterized. The transcript is spliced from 5 exons. The record is from RefSeq and is a predicted model, not a curated record. Lineage: Eukaryota; Viridiplantae; Streptophyta; Magnoliopsida; Zingiberales; Zingiberaceae.